Molecule: ribosomal RNA, 253 nt
Filed under: uncultured bacterium
Lineage: Bacteria
Description: partial 16S ribosomal RNA
Rfam family: Bacterial small subunit ribosomal RNA
Source: RNAcentral
UACGGAGGGUGCAAACGUUGCUCGGAAUCAUUGGGCGUAAAGCGCACGUAGGCGGACCGCUAAGUCGGAUGUGAAAGCCCUCGGCUUAACCGAGGAAGUGCAUUCGAAACUGACAGUCUUGAGUAUGGAAGAGGGUCGCGGAAUUCCCGGUGUAGAGGUGAAAUUCGUAGAUAUCGGGAGGAACACCGGUGGCGAAGGCGGGUCUCUGGGCCGAUAUUGACGCUGAGGAGCGAAAGCGUGGGGAGCGAACAGG